UGAGUCGGCCGAGGUGGCCGCGGGUGCCCUUCGAGGCAUUCGAGGAAGGUCGGGACUCCACAGGGCAGGGUGCUGGCGUGAGGCCAGGCGCCGCGAGGCGACGGAAAGUGCAACAGAGAGCAAACCGCCGAUGGGUCGGGCUGAUGGUUCGCCACCAGGCCGAUCACAGGCAAGGGUGAAACGGUGCGGUAAGAGCGCACCAGCGACCUGGGCGACCAGGCGGCUAGGUAAACCCCACCCGGAGCAAGGUCGAGCAGGAAUCGGGCGGCCCGUCCCACGAUUCCGGGUAGACCGCAUAGAUGGAUGGCCACCCAAGCGGCUCGUGCCGCCGGACAGAAUCCCGCCUAUGUGGCCGGCUCACCGU
This 364-nucleotide RNase P RNA is filed under the name Acidimicrobiales bacterium. Its description in RNAcentral is "RNase P RNA component class A". It matches the Rfam family "Bacterial RNase P class A". From Rfam's summary of the family: Ribonuclease P (RNase P) is a ubiquitous endoribonuclease, found in archaea, bacteria and eukarya as well as chloroplasts and mitochondria. Its best characterised activity is the generation of mature 5'-ends of tRNAs by cleaving the 5'-leader elements of precursor-tRNAs. Cellular RNase Ps are ribonucleoproteins. The record is from RNAcentral. Lineage: Bacteria; Bacillati; Actinomycetota; Acidimicrobiia; Acidimicrobiales.